Long non-coding RNA from Ipomoea triloba (trilobed morning glory), 238 nucleotides. RefSeq lists it as uncharacterized. NCBI's taxonomy places the organism in Eukaryota, Viridiplantae, Streptophyta, Magnoliopsida, Solanales, Convolvulaceae. The transcript has 3 exons. The record is from RefSeq and is a predicted model, not a curated record.
GCUACAAUGUAAUUUUGAAGGACAGAAAAUUGCCAUUGUCUCUUUUAAAUGAUCAUCAAAAGCAAGCAAAAGCACACCUGCUUGACACCGAGCCUUUUGCUGAUGCCUUUGGUCCUAAAAGGAGGAGGAAACGCCCAAAGCUUAUGGCAUCAGAUUAUGAGUCGCUUGUAAAGAAGGCUGAUGUUUCUCAAGAUGCCUUCGAGGAGAAGUUUGGUGCAAGCAACCCGGGGGAAGGAAA